Molecule: ribosomal RNA, 255 nt
Filed under: uncultured bacterium
Lineage: Bacteria
Description: partial 16S ribosomal RNA
Rfam family: Bacterial small subunit ribosomal RNA
Source: RNAcentral
UACGUAGGGGGCGAGCGUUGUCCGGAUUUAUUGGGCGUAAAGAGCGUGUAGGCGGCCAGGUAGGUCUGCUGUGAAAACUCGAGGCUCAACCUCGAGACGUCGGCGGAAACCAUCUGGCUAGAGUCCGGAAGAGGAGAGUGGAAUUCCGGGUGUAGCGGUGGAAUGCGUAGAGAUCCGGAAGAACACCGGUGGCGAAGGCGGCCUGCUGGGCAGUUUAGCUGACACUGAGGCGCGACAGCGUGGGGAGCAAACAGG